GAUGAACGCUGGCGGCGUGCCUAAUACAUGCAAGUCGAGCGAACAGACGAGGAGCUUGCUCCUCUGACGUUGGCGGCGGACGGGUGAGUAACACGUGGAUAACCUACCUAUAAGACUGGGAUAACUUCGGGAAACCGGAGCUAAUACCGGAUAAUAUAUUGAACCGCAUGGUUCAAUAGUGAAAGACGGUUUUGCUGUCACUUAUAGAUGGAUCCGCGCCGCAUUAGCUAGUUGGUAAGGUAACGGCUUACCAAGGCAACGAUGCGUAGCCGACCUGAGAGGGUGAUCGGCCACACUGGAACUGAGACACGGUCCCGACUCCUAAGGGAGGCAGCAGUAGGGAAUCUUCCGCAAUGGGCGAAAGCCUGACGGAGCAACGCCGCGUGAGUUAUGAAGGUCUUCGGAUCGUAAAACUCUGGUAUUAGGGAAGAACAAAUGUGUAAGUAACUAUGCACGUCUUGACGGUACCUAAUCAGAAAGCCACGGCUAACUACGUG
This 497-nucleotide ribosomal RNA is filed under the name uncultured bacterium. RNAcentral describes it as "partial 16S ribosomal RNA". It matches the Rfam family "Bacterial small subunit ribosomal RNA", at positions 28 to 507 of the family's 1533-position model. The record is from RNAcentral.